UACGUAGGGGGCUAGCGUUGUCCGGAAUCAUGGGGCGUAAAGCGCGUGUAGGCGGUCCGGUAAGUCCGCUGUGAAAGUCGGGGGCUCAACCCUCGGAUGCCGGUGGAUACUGUCGGGCUUGAGUACGGAAGAGGCGAGUGGAAUUCCUGGUGUAGCGGUGAAAUGCGCAGAUAUCAGGAGGAACACCAAUGGCGAAGGCAGCACUCUGGGACGUGACUGACGCUGAGACGCGAAAGCGUGGGGAGCAAACAGG
Molecule: ribosomal RNA, 253 nt
Filed under: uncultured bacterium
Lineage: Bacteria
Description: partial 16S ribosomal RNA
Rfam family: Bacterial small subunit ribosomal RNA
Source: RNAcentral